RNAcentral lists this ribosomal RNA (393 nucleotides) under Megacrania tsudai. Its description in RNAcentral is "partial 16S ribosomal RNA". The stretch from base 1 to 164 matches the Rfam family "Bacterial large subunit ribosomal RNA", at positions 1798 to 2023 of the family's 2925-position model. Lineage: Eukaryota; Metazoa; Arthropoda; Insecta; Phasmatodea; Phasmatidae. The record is from RNAcentral.
GCCUGUUUAUCAAAAACAUCUUUUCUUGUUUAUUUAUUUGAGAUUUGACCUGCUCUAUGAUUUAUUUAAUGGCCGCGGUAAUUUGACCGUGCAAAGGUAGCAUAAUCAUUAGUCUAUUAAUUGUGGACUUGUAUGAAUGGUUGGACGAAAUAUUGACUGUCUCGUUAUUAAAUAUUUAAUUUAAAUUUUGAGUUAAAAUGCUUAAAUGUUUUUAUAGGACGAGAAGACCCUUUAGAUCUUAAAUUAUUUAUUUUUAAUUUUAUUUUAGUUAUUAUUUAUUUAUUAGGAUUAUUUAUUUUUUGUUGGGGUGACAUGGAGAUAUAAUUAACUCUUUAUAAUUUUGUACAAUUAUUUUUGUUUAUAUGACCUUUUAUUAAUGUUAUAAGAUUUAGA